This 468-nucleotide ribosomal RNA is filed under the name uncultured bacterium. RNAcentral describes it as "partial 16S ribosomal RNA". It matches the Rfam family "Bacterial small subunit ribosomal RNA", at positions 28 to 507 of the family's 1533-position model. The record is from RNAcentral.
GACGAACGCUGGCGGCGUGCUUAACACAUGCAAGUCGAACGGAAAGGCCCUGCUUUUGUGGGGUGCUCGAGUGGCGAACGGGUGAGUAACACGUGAGUAACCUGCCCUUGACUUUGGGAUAACUUCAGGAAACUGGGGCUAAUACCGGAUAGGAGCUCCUGCUGCAUGGUGGGGGUUGGAAAGUUUCGGCGGUUGGGGAUGGACUCGCGGCUUAUCAGCUUGUUGGUGGGGUAGUGGCUUACCAAGGCUUUGACGGGUAGCCGGCCUGGGAGGGUGACCGGCCACGUUGGGACUGAGAUACGGCCCAGACUCCUACGGGAGGCAGCAGUGGGGAAUAGUGCACAAUGGGCGGAAGCCUGAUGCAGCAACGCCGCGUGCGGGAUGACGGCCUGCGGGUUGUAAACCGCUUUCGCCUGUGACGAAGCGUGAGUGACGGUAAUGGGUAAAGAAGCACCGGCUAACUACGUG